AGGGGGAGGGAGUCAGCCUGGGGUGUCCGGGGGCCCUGACACCCUGACACCAAACGUGAAGUUGGGUUCCUCCAGUUUGCCACCGCUCCCCCCCCCACCCAGUCAUGUGCCAAGCCUCAUGCUGAAGCUCAGAGGAGGCCAGGGCCUCCUCUGAGGCCGUGGUUGGAAGGAGAACAGGGAGGUGGUGGGGAGGUGACUCUUCCCUCCUGACUACCUGAAGCCAGCAUGCCAGGGUCUGGGCAGCAGCCUUCCUGGCAAGGGCAGACUGAGGGACUGAGUCAGGGACAGAGGGACAGAGGGUCCCCAGGGACUUUUCCCUGGGGCACAAGUUUCCCAGGCUCAGGGAGAGGAAGCUCCUCUGCAAGAGGAGCUCCCUAGAGUCCCUCUUCCUUCCUCCCCUCUUCCUUCCUCCUCUGUCUCCUUCCAGCUCCUCUGACGGCAGCCCAACCUGAGGAUGCAGGAGGCAGGGCCCCAGGUGAAGAAGGUCCACCGAGGCUGGCCGUGGGCCUCAGAGCCAGCUCCUGCCCCAGCAUCCUGGAUCCACCUGGAAAGCUGGGGACCAGCCUCCCAGGCCCGGGCGCCAAUUCCAGCCUCCGAGAGGGCCGCACCAGUCCAUCCCGACCAAGGCUUCCCCAGAGCCCAGAGCAUCAACAGGUCAGCGCGUGCACCGCCACAUGGCCGUCCUGCAGGGCCGCAGAGCUCCCUGCUUCUGACUCCCCAUCAGGCUGGGGGACUUGGCUCUCCACCCCACCCCCCUACAAGCCCAAUAAAGGGUUAAAGGGGCCGACCAGGAGGUCCCUGGGCCUGCUGGAGUGGAGAUCCAGGCUAGCCUGCUCCAACCUUUUGAGGACCGGCCAGGGCUGCUCCGGUCAAGCCCUCCUGUC
Molecule: long non-coding RNA, 884 nt
Filed under: Homo sapiens (human)
Lineage: Eukaryota; Metazoa; Chordata; Mammalia; Primates; Hominidae
Description: HSALNT0355506
Source: RNAcentral